This 830-nucleotide ribosomal RNA is filed under the name Escherichia coli. Its description in RNAcentral is "partial 23S ribosomal RNA". It matches the Rfam family "Bacterial large subunit ribosomal RNA", at positions 1 to 874 of the family's 2925-position model. The record is from RNAcentral. Lineage: Bacteria; Pseudomonadati; Pseudomonadota; Gammaproteobacteria; Enterobacterales; Enterobacteriaceae.
GUUAAGCGACUAAGCGUACACGGUGGAUGCCCUGGCAGUCAGAGGCGAUGAAGGACGUGCUAAUCUGCGAUAAGCGUCGGUAAGGUGAUAUGAACCGUUAUAACCGGCGAUUUCCGAAUGGGGAAACCCAGUGUGUUUCGACACACUAUCAUUAACUGAAUCCAUAGGUUAAUGAGGCGAACCGGGGGAACUGAAACAUCUAAGUACCCCGAGGAAAAGAAAUCAACCGAGAUUCCCCCAGUAGCGGCGAGCGAACGGGGAGCAGCCCAGAGCCUGAAUCAGUGUGUGUGUUAGUGGAAGCGUCUGGAAAGGCGCGCGAUACAGGGUGACAGCCCCGUACACAAAAAUGCACAUGCUGUGAGCUCGAUGAGUAGGGCGGGACACGUGGUAUCCUGUCUGAAUAUGGGGGGACCAUCCUCCAAGGCUAAAUACUCCUGACUGACCGAUAGUGAACCAGUACCGUGAGGGAAAGGCGAAAAGAACCCCGGCGAGGGGAGUGAAAAAGAACCUGAAACCGUGUACGUACAAGCAGUGGGAGCACGCUUAGGCGUGUGACUGCGUACCUUUUGUAUAAUGGGUCAGCGACUUAUAUUCUGUAGCAAGGUUAACCGAAUAGGGGAGCCGAAGGGAAACCGAGUCUUAACUGGGCGUUAAGUUGCAGGGUAUAGACCCGAAACCCGGUGAUCUAGCCAUGGGCAGGUUGAAGGUUGGGUAACACUAACUGGAGGACCGAACCGACUAAUGUUGAAAAAUUAGCGGAUGACUUGUGGCUGGGGGUGAAAGGCCAAUCAAACCGGGAGAUAGCUGGUUCUCCCCGAAAGCUAUUUAGG